Molecule: long non-coding RNA, 130 nt
Organism: Aethalodelphis obliquidens (Pacific white-sided dolphin)
Lineage: Eukaryota; Metazoa; Chordata; Mammalia; Artiodactyla; Delphinidae
Exons: 3
Source: RefSeq, a predicted model, not a curated record
UAAGAGGACAAUGAGGGAGUUCCCUGCUGGCCUAGUGGUUAGGGUGCCAGGCUUUCACUGCCGUGGCCCAGGUUCAAUCCCUGGUCAGGGAGCUGAGAUCCCGCAAGCUGUGCAGCAUGGCCAAAAAAAA